CGCAAAGGAAUCAGACCAACAUUUCAUUUCUUCUAGCUGCCAUGGACGGAUAGCAGACAGCCAAGGGACAACCGAAAGCUCUUCAACAUUUCCUCUACAAAAACCAUUCAAAUCACCACCAAAUCUUCUCAAAAUUUAGCACCACUUAGCCUAAGCCUUGGAGUUCACAUCUAGCUAAAAAGGGGAGGAUUUUCACGGCUCACUUAGGAGCAAGGAAGGACCGAAUCUCUGACUUAGACAUCAACUAAGAGUAAGUCUUAAACUAGCCUUCUAACUUUGAUUUUUGGAAGUUCUAGUAUAUCUUUUAGCUCUUGAUUUCUUAUGGGUUGUUGUGGAUGUUGGAAAAUUGGAAAAGUGGGUUCUAUGAAUUCCCACUCUUGGG
This 382-nucleotide long non-coding RNA is filed under the name Coffea arabica (coffee). Its description in RNAcentral is "long non-coding RNA (CARA_LNC005595)". Lineage: Eukaryota; Viridiplantae; Streptophyta; Magnoliopsida; Gentianales; Rubiaceae. The record is from RNAcentral.